Cyprinus carpio (common carp) is the source of this 774-nucleotide long non-coding RNA. RefSeq lists it as uncharacterized. The record is from RefSeq and is a predicted model, not a curated record. The transcript is spliced from 4 exons. Lineage: Eukaryota; Metazoa; Chordata; Actinopteri; Cypriniformes; Cyprinidae.
GCCAGUGAAGAUGACUGCAUUACGGCCAGCCAGAUUCUGACAGAGCUGCUUGGCCACCAGACUGUGAAGCUGGGGUUUAUUUUUCAGCGUGUCCAAACCAUCUGGACCUGGACCCUCCUUUAGAUGGACAUAGAUCUGAUACGAUGUGAUGUAACAUCUUGGGGCAGUUGAUCAAUUUUUGGGUGAUAUCCUCCUGUGCUGUGCACUCACCUGACAGAUGAAACCAGUGGAGCUGCACUGUCUCACCCACAGGCUGAACUUUCUCUUCUUCCUCUUGCGCAGCUCCCUCUCUGUACAUGUGCUAAUGAACACGGGGUCCUCAUCAAUCAAGGGCUCAUGGAGGACCUGAGGGAAAGCAGCAUGUCUCAUUUGAAAACUUCACCAUGAUAACUCUUCAAACGCAUCAUUUGUCAAUGCAAAGUUGCUUUUCAAGCUUUUUAUGUUCCCUGCAGGAGAUGCACGCUGAAAUCAUGAUGAAGAUCCUGAGAAAAGAUGUUGGCUUAUCAAGUUAGGGGAUAAGAAGCAAACACACACUGUGGCAGUCAAAGUGAGCUGGAUGGCACACAUUGUCAAGGUGAUAUAACCAUGGCACUGGGAGAGCUGAGAGACGCAGAUGGUGCUUAGUUUACUCAUGGCAGGGCCUGAAGGACGAGGCUAAGCUCUGCUGGAGAGAGUCCAGGAAGGGUUGGAUCUUAUAGAGGCCCUGACUGCCACCUUGGCUGGAGCGGAAGGCUACGACGUGGAAGUACUUGAGGAUCUUCUCGAACCGUGCCU